RNAcentral lists this ribosomal RNA (527 nucleotides) under Danaus chrysippus (African queen). RNAcentral's name for it is "partial 16S ribosomal RNA". It matches the Rfam family "Bacterial large subunit ribosomal RNA", at positions 1810 to 2608 of the family's 2925-position model. Lineage: Eukaryota; Metazoa; Arthropoda; Insecta; Lepidoptera; Nymphalidae. The record is from RNAcentral.
AAAACAUGUCUUUUUGAAAAUAAUUUAAAGUCUAAUCUGCCCACUGAUAAAUAUUAAAGGGCUGCAGUAUAUUGACUGUACAAAGGUAGCAUAAUCAAUAGUCUUUUAAUUGAAGACUUGUAUGAAGGAUUUAAUGAAAUAUAAUCUGUCUCUUAUUUAUAAUUAGAAUUUAAUUUUUUAGUUAAAAAGCUAAAAUAGAUUUAAAAGACGAGAAGACCCUAUAGAGUUUUAUAAUUAAUUAAUUUUGGGUUAUAUAUAUAAUUUAAAAUUAAAAAUUAAUUAAUUAUUUUAUUGGGGUGAUAAAAAAAUUAAGUAAACUUUUUUUUAUUGAAGACAUAAAUAAGUGAAUAAAUGAUCCAUUAUUAAUGAUUAAAAGAAAAAAUUACCUUAGGGAUAACAGCGUAAUUUUUUUUUUUAGUUCAAAUAAGAAAAAGAGAUUGCGACCUCGAUGUUGGAUUAAGAUAAAAUAUAAAUGCAAAAGUUUAAAAUUUUGAUCUGUUCGAUCAUUAAAAUCUUACAUGAUCUGA